AUGAACGCUGGCGGCGUGCCUAAUACAUGCAAGUCGAGCGAACAGACGAGGAGCUUGCUCCUCUGACGUUAGCGGCGGACGGGUGAGUAACACGUGGAUAACCUACCUAUAAGACUGGGAUAACUUCGGGAAACCGGAGCUAAUACCGGAUAAUAUAUUGAACCGCAUGGUUCAAUAGUGAAAGACGGUUUUGCUGUCACUUAUAGAUGGAUCCGCGCCGCAUUAGCUAGUUGGUAAGGUAACGGCUUACCAAGGCAACGAUGCGUAGCCGACCUGAGAGGGUGAUCGGCCACACUGGAACUGAGACACGGUCCAGACUCCUACGGGAGGCAGCAGUAGGGAAUCUUCCGCAAUGGGCGAAAGCUUGACGGAGCAACGCCGCGUGAGUGAUGAAGGUCUUCGGAUCGUAAAACUCUGUUAUUAGGGAAGAACAAAUGUGUAAGUAACUAUGCACGUCUUGACGGUACCUAAUCAGAAAGCCACAGCUAACUACGUG
This 496-nucleotide ribosomal RNA is filed under the name uncultured bacterium. RNAcentral's name for it is "partial 16S ribosomal RNA". It matches the Rfam family "Bacterial small subunit ribosomal RNA", at positions 29 to 507 of the family's 1533-position model. The record is from RNAcentral.